CCCCCUUUCUUUACUUUUGUGCAAUACAACAAGUUGUUUCGAACUUCCUAAAGCUUGGUUAUCAGCUUGGGUGUGAAAUUAUGACUUGUGGUCCUCCGUUCAUUACACAUACAAGGUAUGCUAAAGCUGUCAUAUUAAUGCUUAGUAUAUGAUAAAACACAGAAAAAUUGAUUUGCUGUGGUUAGAUGUUGAUGUUGAUAAAGUUGUCCAUAUUGAUGUUACUGUUACAUUUUAUCACAUACAGUAGCCACAAACUGUUGUCAGUCAAU
Molecule: long non-coding RNA, 269 nt
Filed under: Mytilus galloprovincialis (Mediterranean mussel)
Lineage: Eukaryota; Metazoa; Mollusca; Bivalvia; Mytilida; Mytilidae
Source: RNAcentral